RNAcentral lists this ribosomal RNA (279 nucleotides) under Arctosa cinerea. RNAcentral describes it as "partial 12S ribosomal RNA". The record is from RNAcentral. Lineage: Eukaryota; Metazoa; Arthropoda; Arachnida; Araneae; Lycosidae.
CAAAACCUAUUUAAAAUGGCGGCAUUUCAUCUUAUUAGAGGAACCUGUUUUAUAAUCGAUAAUCCACGAUAAUUUUCACUUCGAAUAAAAACUUAUAUACCGUCAUCAAAAGAACAAAUAUAACAAUAUCAUUCUCAAUAAUAACUAAAAAGUUAGGUCAAGGUGUAGUUUAUUUUGAAGAAAGUAAUGGGUUACUAUAAGAAUUACUCAAGAAUUUUUAUAUUAAAAUAUUUUAUGAAAAAGGAUUUAAAAGUAAUAGUAAAAUAUUAUUUUACUAUG